GACGAACGCUGGCGGCGUGCUUAACACAUGCAAGUCGAACGGAAAGGCCCUGCUUUUGUGGGGUGCUCGAGUGGCGAACGGGUGAGUAACACGUGAGUAACCUGCCCUUGACUUUGGGAUAACUUCAGGAAACUGGGGCUAAUACCGGAUAGGAGCUCCUGCUGCAUGGUGGGGGUUGGAAAGUUUCGGCGGUUGGGGAUGGACUCGCGGCUUAUCAGCUUGUUGGUGGGGUAGUGGCUUACCAAGGCUUUGACGGGUAGCCGGCCUGAGAGGGUGACCGGCAGAGGGGGGGCGGGGAGACGGCAGAGGGUGAUGGGGGGGGGGGCGGGGGGGAAUAUGGGAGGGGGGGGGGGGGGCGGGGACGGGAACGCGGGGGGGGGGAGGGCGGGUUGGGGGUUGUACUCGGGUUGCGCUGGGGGCGAGGAGUGGGGGCAGGGGGUGGGAAAAGAAGCACGGGCGAACGGCGUGCCAGAAGCGGCGGUAAUA
This 486-nucleotide ribosomal RNA is filed under the name uncultured bacterium. Its description in RNAcentral is "partial 16S ribosomal RNA". The stretch from base 20 to 332 matches the Rfam family "Bacterial small subunit ribosomal RNA", at positions 47 to 358 of the family's 1533-position model. The record is from RNAcentral.